UUUGAAAUCCUCAAAACUACGAGAAAACUCACCGUUAAAAGCACACAGCAACGAAGUAUACUUCUCCCUCUGGUCAUAUGAUAGGGAACAGACAAGUAGUAUCAGAAGGUCAUCUGAUAGGGAACAGACUAGUAGUAUCAGAAGGUCAUCUGAUAGGGAACAGACUAGUAGUGUCAGAAGGUCAUCUGAUAGGGAACAGACUAGUAGUGUCAGAAGGUCAUCUGAUAGGGAACAGACUAGUAGUAUCGGAAGGUCAUCUGAUAGGGAACAGACUAGUAGUGUCAGAAGGUCAUCUGAUAGGGAACAGACUAGUAGUGUCAG
This is a long non-coding RNA of Oncorhynchus tshawytscha (Chinook salmon), 321 nucleotides long. The record is from Ensembl. NCBI's taxonomy places the organism in Eukaryota, Metazoa, Chordata, Actinopteri, Salmoniformes, Salmonidae.